RNAcentral lists this ribosomal RNA (461 nucleotides) under uncultured bacterium. RNAcentral describes it as "partial 16S ribosomal RNA". It matches the Rfam family "Bacterial small subunit ribosomal RNA", at positions 338 to 795 of the family's 1533-position model. The record is from RNAcentral.
CCUACGGGUGGCUGCAGUGAGGAAUAUUGGUCAAUGGGCGCGAGCCUGAACCAGCCAAGUCGCGUGAGGGAUGACGGUCCUACGGAUUGUAAACCUCUUUUGCCGGGGAGCACGCGUGCGUUCGUGAACGCACGUCGAGAGUACCCGGAGAAAAAGCAUCGGCUAACUCCGUGCCAGCAGCCGCGGUAAUACGGAGGAUGCGAGCGUUAUCCGGAUUUAUUGGGUUUAAAGGGUGCGUAGGCGGUCGGAUAAGUUAGAGGUGAAAUCCCGAGGCUCAACUUCGGAAUUGCCUCUGAUACUGUUCGGCUAGAGAGUAGUUGCGGUAGGCGGAAUGUAUGGUGUAGCGGUGAAAUGCUUAGAGAUCAUACAGAACACCGAUUGCGAAGGCAGCUUACCAAGCUACUUCUGACGUUGAGGCACGAAAGCGUGGGGAGCAAACAGGAUUAGAUACCCUAGUAGUC